AAAUGAAUUGACGGGGGCCCGCACAAGCAGCGGAGCAUGUGGUUUAAUUCGAAGCAACGCGAAGAACCUUACCAAGGCUUGACAUCCCUUGACGCACGUAGAGAUACGUGUUCCCUUCGGGGCAAGGAGACAGGUGGUGCAUGGUUGUCGUCAGCUCGUGUCGUGAGAUGUUGGGUUAAGUCCCGCAACGAGCGCAACCCUUAUUGCUAGUUGCCAGCGCGUUAAGGCGGGAACUCUAGUGAGACUGCCGGGGACAACUCGGAGGAAGGUGGGGACGACGUCAAAUCAUCAUGCCCCUUAUGUCUUGGGCUACACACGUGCUACAAUGGCCGGUACAAAGGGCAGCGAAGCCGCAAGGCGGAGCGAAUCUCAUAAAGCCGGUCCCAGUUCGGAUCGUGGGCUGCAACCCGCCCACGUGAAGUCGGAGUUGCUAGUAAUCGCGAAUCAGCAUGUCGCGGUGAAUGCGUUCCCGGGCCUUGUACACACCGCCCGU
Molecule: ribosomal RNA, 493 nt
Filed under: uncultured bacterium
Lineage: Bacteria
Description: bacterial SSU rRNA
Rfam family: Bacterial small subunit ribosomal RNA
Source: RNAcentral